This 497-nucleotide ribosomal RNA is filed under the name uncultured bacterium. Its description in RNAcentral is "partial 16S ribosomal RNA". It matches the Rfam family "Bacterial small subunit ribosomal RNA", at positions 28 to 507 of the family's 1533-position model. The record is from RNAcentral.
GAGGAAAGAGGGAGGAGGGAUGAAUACAUGCAAGUCGAGCGAACAGGCGAGGAGCUUGCUCCUCUGACGUUAGCGGCGGACGGGUGAGUAACACGUGGAUAACCUACCUAUAAGACUGGGAUAACUUCGGGAAACCGGAGCUAAUACCGGAUAAUAUAUUGAACCGCAUGGUUCAAUAGUGAAAGACGGUUUUGCUGUCACUUAUAGAUGGAUCCGCGCCGCAUUAGCUAGUUGGUAAGGUAACGGCUUACCAAGGCAACGAUGCGUAGCCGACCUGAGAGGGUGAUCGGCCACACUGGAACUGAGACACGGUCCAGACUCCUACGGGAGGCAGCAGUAGGGAAUCUUCCGCAAUGGGCGAAAGCCUGACGGAGCAACGCCGCGUGAGUGAUGAAGGUCUUCGGAUCGUAAAACUCUGUUAUUAGGGAAGAACAAAUGUGUAAGUAACUAUGCACGUCUUGACGGUACCUAAUCAGAAAGCCACGGCUAACUACGUG